UAACAUAAGAAUCAUCACACAAUUUAGAAUGUAAUUGCGUAUUUUUGUUGUAGGUUUUUAGUUGUCAAUAAAGGAGUAUAAGAAGUUUUUUAAAGAAUUUUAAUUUUUUUUUUUCUUGCAGCUACCGAUGAAAACAUUAAGUGAAACAUUCUAUAUUUUAUAGUUACUUAUUUUUGCUCUGAAUUCACAACAAGUACGUAGUUGAUUGAAAUUGGUGACACCAUCAUUACGUUUCUUCUUGUUAGCAGUCAAAUAUACAUAUACACAACCAGAUAGAUAAACCAAUUAGAUCACUGGGCAAUCAAUACAAAUAGGAUACAAUUUAAUCCAAGUCAACAAACAGCGUUACCCUGUAAAAGUACCUUUUUACACGGCGUCCCAAAACGAGCAAACAACAAUAAUCGAUUAACAUUAAUCAUGUUAACAAUUGGUCAGUGACAGUGUUCUUGUGAAAGAAAUGACUAAUGAUAGACAAUGAUGUUAACAUAAGAUACAGCUUGUACAAACCACUUAUAUGAUUCUUACCAUGUGUAGAUGGGCGAUGAAAGUAUGGAUAAGGUAGCAAGAAUCAUUUAAGUACUGUGUACAGUAAAUGGAUCCUUGUUAAUGUCAGUAAUUUUAGUUUUCGUAAAUCAAAAUGUAAGUGUAAAUAAUUUAGUGAAAAAUAGGAACUUGUGUACAAAUGAAGAUUAAGUAGACCAUAGAUCUGUACACAUUCCUAGCUUGUCAGGAAAGAACCAUGUAAUUUUGAAAAUCUCGAAUCACCUCCUUUAUCAAGGAUCACUCUUGGAUGCUGUACAAGGAGAAUGAGUGGACUCAUGAAUAUUAUAUGAAAGUGCUCGAGCCGCAAGAUGAACAAUGAGAAACAAUAAUAUGUCAGGGCAAAGCAUGUGGACAAAAGAUGCUCCGUUUCCAUCUCAAGUUUCCCAAGUCUCGUUACUUUGCAUGAUAUGUUGCCGUUAUCGUUAGAUAUACCAUAGAAGAACGCGUGGGAAUACCUCGACAUACCCUUCAGAUAUUUCUAUCUCUGAACUCACUUUUUCUUGAGAGUGAAGAAACUACGUCUCUUGGUCUCGGCUUGCGUUGGCGCGGGCAAGGUGUGUGCCCUGGAUGUGCUUGCGCCCGAUGCACCCUGCGCUGAUUGGUUCAGUGCCGUGACCCAUUCAUUCAUCUCGGUGUCAUCUUUGGCCUGGAACAAGAAGUCUGAUCCGCUUUGCGACCUGUAAAAUAUCCGUUCAGUAUUAGAAAAUUUUCUGUUCAUUAAAUAUCUACCUUUACCCCAACGCCUUCGAUUUUUCAAAUAUUAAAUUUUAAAACAUUCAACUUUACGAAUUAAAUCAUAAAUAAAGUUAAAAAUAAUACUUAUACAGAUAAUCUGCUAAUCAAACAUAACAAACCCUUCGUUUGCUCAUUGAACUCAUUUUUUCCUUAGCCUCUAGGUGUUUUCCCUUAGAAUACCAACCUUAAUUUUAUUCAAAAAAUUAUAGAAAAAUACAAAAUAGUGCAUUUUUAACAAUAUCAGUACAACAUAGAAGAAGGUUGCUGGAAGUUGUAGGUUUUAACGAAUAAUUGACAUUAACUUAAUGUUAAUAAUGCACCCAUUAAUAAUUUUGUUUAUUCAUUUAUGAUUUAUCUUAUGUUUACCCAGUCGACCUGAUAGUCUAUUUUUGGUCCGGGACUAUGGAUCCAUCCGUAAUCAUGAUUUAAUGUUACUACUAAUCCAUUAAUUAUCUAGAAGACUUACUUUACUCGGAAGACAUGUUUCCUCUUGGUAUAAUCAUUCGCCACGGUUAUGGUAGCGCCCCUGAGAUCUAGAGGAGCUUCUCCUUUAUAAGAUUGAUCAGGCGCAGACUUGUACGAUUUCUGGUCCGUGUAUGCGAACAGACUUUGCCCGCGAACGACCAUGUACACCUUGUGCCAGGACCGAUUAGAUGCCUUCUUCGUUGUACUCUCCCAUUCGUGCUUUCGUUGCAAUACACCCUCGAAUUCGUCGUCGGUGGGACUUCGUUGUUCUGAAAAAUGAAAUUCACCUUGAUAUAAUUGUUUCACAAUGGCUGGUCGAAGCUACUUUGUAAUACAGACAGACCCAAUCCCCUCUUGAACAUGUGUAGAGCACAGUGAUCGAUAACAAACUUUAAACAGGAAGAUUAUUGAAUAGUUACCGGGUACGUUAAAGGAUGCUGAAUGCAGUUCAUAUACCAAACAAACAUACAGUUUUAGUAGGAUGCAACUAAACUUAAUGUUAUUGUUAAUAAUAGUAUACCCUAAGUGAUUUAGUUUUAUAAAUUCUUCGGAGUAUAAGAAAAGAGAAAAAAAAAAAUAUCGUUCCAAUGCUGAAAAUAAAAGGAUUAGUGGUUCUCCGG
This is a long non-coding RNA of Megalopta genalis, 2363 nucleotides long. RefSeq lists it as uncharacterized. Lineage: Eukaryota; Metazoa; Arthropoda; Insecta; Hymenoptera; Halictidae. The record is from RefSeq and is a predicted model, not a curated record.